AUCUCCUGGAAAAUCUGCAAUUCAAACUUCCAGUCAAACAAUUCAACACUAGAUAGUCAGCAAAAGAUUUAGGCCCAAUGAGCAAUCAGAAUUAAUGUUCUAUUCCAAUUUCAGGGCAUCUUUGCUAUUACUGACACCUGCAGGCAGCUCAAUGUCCAUUGAGCUUCCACUACUAUUACAGAUCAAAUUAAUACCAACUGUAGAGAUACUAGCAAACAGAACACCAAUAAAGGAUACAUUCAUCUUUUAUUAAAUAGCAGGUAUGGAAAUUCAAAUGUAAAACCAGGAAGGCACACUAAAUUCGAGGUUUCUUACAACAAAGGUAAAAGAAGGGAGAAAUCACUGUUUACAUGGAAACUAGUUGAUGGAACCACCACUCUCGCCUUAAAUCAGACCAUAUGGUGAUUAUAUCCUUCCUUUUUCUUCUGAUUCCCUCUCAGAAGCAAGCAUCCAGAAGGCAGCAGCAGCAAA
Molecule: non-coding RNA, 471 nt
Organism: Musa acuminata subsp. malaccensis (wild Malaysian banana)
Lineage: Eukaryota; Viridiplantae; Streptophyta; Magnoliopsida; Zingiberales; Musaceae
Source: RefSeq, a predicted model, not a curated record